UCCUGGUUAACCCAGGCAGUCUCGUUAGAGUUCCCACCAUUACGUGUUGGCAACUAACGAUAAGGGUUGCGCUCGUUGCGGGACUUAACCCAACACCUCACGGCACGAGCUGACGACAGCCAUGCAGCACCUGUGCAGAAGCCCCGAAGGGAGACGAUAUCUCUACCGUUGUCUUCUGCAUGUCAAGUCUGGGUAAGGUUCUUCGCGUUGCAUCGAAUUAAACCACAUGCUCCACUGCUUGUGCGGGUCCCCGUCAAUUCUUUUGAGUUUCACCCUUGCGAGUGUACUCCCCAGGCGGUAUACUUAACGCGUUCGCUACGGCACAGUCAGGGUUGAGUCCGACUACACCUAGUAUACAUAGUUUACGGCAAGGACUAC
This 378-nucleotide unclassified non-coding RNA is filed under the name uncultured Parachlamydiaceae bacterium. RNAcentral's name for it is "contains 16S-23S intergenic spacer region". Lineage: Bacteria; Pseudomonadati; Chlamydiota; Chlamydiia; Parachlamydiales; Parachlamydiaceae. The record is from RNAcentral.